AUACUCUGGUUUCUCUUCAGGUCAUAUAAAUCUUUCUCCUUUU
This 43-nucleotide small nuclear RNA is filed under the name Cervus elaphus hippelaphus. The record is from RNAcentral. Lineage: Eukaryota; Metazoa; Chordata; Mammalia; Artiodactyla; Cervidae.